UAGGGAAUCUUCCACAAUGGACGCAAGUCUGAUGGAGCAACGCCGCGUAAGUGAAGAAGGUCUUCGGAUCGUAAAACUCUGUUGUUAGAGAAGAACACGAGUGAGAGUAACUGUUCAUUCGAUGACGGUAUCUAACCAGCAAGUCACGGCUAACUACGUGUCAG
This 164-nucleotide ribosomal RNA is filed under the name uncultured bacterium. Its description in RNAcentral is "partial 16S rRNA". It matches the Rfam family "Bacterial small subunit ribosomal RNA", at positions 355 to 511 of the family's 1533-position model. The record is from RNAcentral.